GGCAGUGGUCAGAGUGAGAUGUCGACAAGGGCCAGUGGUCAGAGUGAGACGUAGAUAGGGCAUGCAAGACGUGCGAUCCAAAUAAAGCGUCCCCUUUAAAUUUGUUGGUUUGAUUAUUUAACUUGGAUAGGGUUAUUUGCCGUGUGUUUUUUGUUGCGUGAUUGAACCUUCUGAGAGUAGGAAUUUCAUAGAUGAAGUGCAUCAACUAUCAAGGGUAGAAAUGUACUAUGAAUUUUGUAGAAAAAUCGAAGCAAAAAUCGCCCUAGCAGUGCAGCCGUUUGCUCGCUGAACGGUCUGCCCCUGGUGGCCUCUACUACGCAGUAGCCCGGCCCCGUUGUCUUGGGUUCGAAGCCCAUCACACAUGUUUCUUCUUUCCUUUGUUUCCCCCGUAUCCCUCGUGAUUAAUGAAAAAUAAUUUCGAAUAUUCAAAAAAAUCUAAUACGAGUGAGAGAAUUGAAAAUAAUUCCCACCUAAAGAUGUACCCUGCCCCUCACACAGGGUCCAUCUGCUAGGCCAAAACUAACUAAAAGUAAGAUUCAUUUCGUCAUCCUCCCUCCGUUGAAAACUGCUUGAUGUGCGUGGAUUGGCCGUGAAAUGCUCUGUGAUGCUGCUGCCUAAAUAAAUUUACAAAAACGCUUCAGGUUGAAUUCUGAGGAGUGAGGACUGCUCUCUACGCUGGACCUAGCUCGAAUCCCUGGUAGAAGGAUGCCCUGCGGUUGGUGGACGAGCGACGAGACGUAGGAGUGCUAUACCGGUCGCCGGUGGUGGGGCCAGGUCUUGAGCAGGGGCGUCCCUCCCGUGUAGUUAAAGGUUGGUGGGGGACUAGGGAGACGAGGUGGUGGUGGGUGGACAGUUCGGGCAGCACGAUGAGACAACAUUGGUCGCACCGGCCACCAACCAUUAUGGGGGGAGGGGCAAGGCAGGCGCAACGCACGUCCGUGGAGGCAUAGUGGUCGGUGGAAGACCACCGCGAGAUCCUCGGAAAAAGUGCAUGUGGGUCAAAGUCCGUGCUAACAAAUGGAUCCGAUAAAAGUGUAUUUAGCCCUGUUUGGACUAUGGACUAUGGACUAAACUUUAGUCCGUAUCAUGUUUGGAUCAAGCUGUUUGAAUUCAGAGAUUAAAGUCCAUUAAUACGGAUGAACAAAGAUGAUAUUAUCUUGUACCCACCUCCUCCCGCCGCUCCCAGAUCAUGGAUAUCGCGGGAAUGUUCCGACCAGCUCUUGACAAGAUCAAGUCUUCCAUCCCUUCCGCCGCUGACUACGACAUCAUCACCCGAGUCCUCACCGGCUCCUUCAACGACAGGACUAGCCUGCUGCUCGGCGCCGAGCUCACCAAGCACCCUGUGCAGGCGGAGGAGGAGCCCGCUCCUCCGGCGCAAGCACAAGAGGCGGUGCCGGCAUCGAUCACGAUCGUCAUCCACACAACUCCGGCGCCGGCAGCGUCGCCCACAUCCCCGUCGCGCAGUUGCUCAUCACGGCAGCAAGCAACGUCUGCUUCUCCCUCUUCGUGCUCGUCAUCACCUCGACCAGGACGACGCGCCCACGGCCAUCACCGCCGCCUCCGUUGUUGCCGCCGCCAACGGGACCUGCGACUCGGAAGUGCCACUCAAUUGCUCCGACCCACGCGUGCUCGCCGUCGUCAAGGCGUUCAACGCUGAGGCCUUCUUUCGCAAGUCCGGGAGGGUGGCGGGAGGUAGGCCAACGGCGGGGGUGGCGGGCAGGAGGGUGGUGGCGCGGCGGCGGCGGGGCCAGGUGGGAGGGCGGCGGGGGCAACGACAACGGUGGCCAGGCGGGAUAGAGGCCGGUGGCGAUGACGAUGGUGGCUGGGCGUGAGGGCAGCGAGGGCCAGGCGGGAAGGCAAUGGGGGCGACGACAUCGGGGGGCGGGCGAGAGGGAGGCUAGCGGUGACAGCAGCGGUGGCCAGGUGGGAGGGCGGCGGGGGCCAGGUGGAGGGGGCCGGGCAGGAGGGAGGUAAUAAAUGAGGGGUAGGGGUGUCUCCAAGACCUUUUAGUCCACUUUAGUCCACCCCUCUUGGAUAGUCCACAUUUUAGUCCACCUGUUUGACACUUUAGGGACUAAAAGGGGCCAAAAUAGGUAGACUAAAGUUUAGUCCAGGUAACCAAAUAGGCCAUUAUUGUUGGAGAAUAAACUUAAACCAUUGUCUUUCUUAAACCGUAAUUCAAAAAAUAUUCCUUUUGAACUACUAUAUUCCUUGCGAUUAUAUCAACGAAACCAUAUCCAUGCUGACAAUCUCAUGCAAUAACUAAUUAUUAUCAUGCUUUUACAACUCACAACUUACAGCAUAAAUAAAUGCUACCAUCGUAAGAGACGUUAUUAGCACACUUGAUUAUUUUUACUCAUGAGAGGCUGAGACGAUUCCCCUACAGGGUCUAACUGGAGGCGGGUGUGUGGGCCGUGCGCACAUGGUAGGGCACGGGUGGAGGACCUAGUGAACAAUGCCGGGCGCGUCUAUGCGUCGCUAAAGGUGACAAAUCCACGGAUGUCGCCUUGAACAAGUGUGCGCGGGCGUGGUCAAUCCACGAGAACUGUUGGUCCAUCCCCACACCGCCGCUACCUUCCUCUUCGAUCAGAUUCGCCGCCACCACCGUACCCUUCCUUCCUCUCCCCUGCUCGCACUCACGCCGCCCUCGAACAUCGUCUCUAGCGACUCCCGCGCAUUGGAAUCAACAGCCCUCCCCCUCCUCCACGCACUAACCCAACUCCGUGGCGACUCCCCCGCCGCCUCCACAGCCUGCAGCCGGUGGCUCUGCCGUCCCGCCCACAACCUGCAGCCGGUGGCUCUGCCGCCCCACCCACAACCCGCUAAUGGCAGCCUUCCUCUAACCGAAGAGAACCCCCGCCCUGUCCUUAGCCCACUAGCUGUCAAGCCACCAACCCCGGCUAGCGGCGUCCCCGCAACCCGCCUCCGCUUCCAGGCUACCCUGCGAGACCCACCCCUUUCUAAGGUCGGCGGCAAUUGGACCUUCCCUGGCACUCCUGCAGCCCCAAACCUGAAGCUCGAAGCCCAAACCCUAGCAGCGCAAGCGACGAGUGAAGGAAGAGGAAGGAGGGAGAGGAAGAAGGAGUGAAGCGCCACAGAUAGGGUUUGGAUGAUGUUGGAGAUCGCCCAAAAACUAAGCAACCUCGAGCGCCGUUCAUAGUCAAAAACCCUUCAACCUCGCAAGUCCUAGACCAAGGAACAAAACUUGGUAAAACCUCGCAACUUGUCAUGAAGGCCAUUCUGUUAAUAAAACUCGUACCCUUGUAUAUUCCUUGUUACUUUAGGGAUUCAAAGCUAACAAAUAUUAGCUGAUGACCGAACUUCAAUCGAGCUAACCCUCGGAUGCUCGGAGCUGGUUUAGAGCACCAAACCAGCACCUUUUCUUCUCUUUACUCAUGAAUGGAACCUAAGUGAAGGCGUCGCGAGGUUACAAGCUCUUGAAGUAUCACAACGAACUAAGCACCAUGAGGUUGGAGAUUUUACCCGGCUCGAGGGUAACGAUACGAGGUUGGAAGAUUGAUCUGGUGCAAAGGUAAAGUCCCGAGGUUAAGAAGAUGAAGGCGAGAGAAACGUGACUACAUGAAUGCGCGAGAAGCGUGACUAGAUGAAGGCGUGAGAAGCGUGAUAGCAUAGAUGAAUCCAACUUGUACAGGUUACCCCAAUGACCUUUAUGUACGGUAUAUUCUAGUAAUGUAGUAGUUGAAAAGGGAUAUUUUCAGAAUGUAAAGUGGCUCACGGGUCACUAUACAAGGGAAGCCCUACCCCUUUAUAAGGGGGACUCAUUGCUUUUGAGAACUUACCAGUGCUAUCUCUUUCUAUUCAUACAUCUGUUGGUGUCGAAUUCCUUUGAGACCAACAGAUGGAGGGAGAAGAAGAAGGCUGGGGAGAGGAGAAGACGGAGUUGACAAGUGAGCCAUCUAAUACGACAGAUAACUCUCCGCAUAAGGGGGUGUUUGGUUGCAGGGACUAAAGUUUAGUCCAUGUCACAUCGAAUGUUUAGAUACUAAUUAGGAGUAUUAAAUAUAGGUUAAUUACAAAAUCAAUUGCAUAAAUGAAGGUUAAUUCGCGGGACGAAUUAAGCUUAAUUAAUCCAUGAUUAGCACAUAUUUACUGCAACAUCACAUGGUCAAAUCAUGGACUAAUUAGACUUAAUAGAUUCGUCUCACGAAUUAGCUUUCAUUUAUGCAAUUAGUUUUAUAAUUAAUCUAUAGUUAAUACUCCUAAUUAGUAACUAAACGAGGACUAAACUUUAAUCUAAAAAGUCACAACGCCUGCCUCCAGCACGUCACAGCAAGACGCCGCCAACUCCAAGCUUCCAAAAAUCCUAGUCACCAUCUCAAAAGGAAAAAAAAAAUCAGUCGCGUAGGUACCGCGACCGUCUGCAAAUUCGCUCACGAAGGUGGCUGCGAGCUAGUACUAGCAGCGGUUUAACACUCUCGGAGGCGGAAGCUUCCUCUGAGACAUGUCGCGCUGUGACGUUUACUGCCUCUAGCUACGCGUGACGAUCGCGCAGUUACAUCCUUCCCCUACAAGAAAAGCAACCCCAUAUAACAUGCCAUUUAGAUUUGUUUAUUAUUAUGGCAGCUCAUGCCGUCACUAAUGAUCUCACUCUCCACUGCCGCUGCCGAGGACCGAUCAGAAAAUGAUCGGCAAGACUCGGGGUUGUUUGUUCCUCGGAUUAAAGUCUAGAUCCUGUCACAUCGAAUAUUUAGAAGAAGACUGGGGAGAGGAGAAGACGGAGUUGACAAGUGAGCCAUCUAAUACGACAGAUAACUCUCCGCAUAAGGGGGUGUUUGGUUGCAGGGACUAAAGUUUAGUCCAUGUCACAUCGAAUGUUUAGAUACUAAUUAGGAGUAUUAAAUAUAGGUUAAUUACAAAAUCAAUUGCAUAAAUGAAGGUUAAUUCGCGGGACGAAUUAAGCUUAAUUAAUCCAUGAUUAGCACAUAUUUACUGUAACAUCACAUGGUCAAAUUAUGGAUUAAUUAUACUUAAUAGAUUCGUCUCACGAAUUAGCCUUCAUUUAUGCAAUUAGUUUUAUAAUUAAUCUAUAGUUAAUACUCCUAAUUAGUAUCUAAACAUUCGAAACUUUAAUCUACAAAGUCACAACGCCUGCCUCCAGCACGUCACAGCAGGACGCCGCCAACUCCAAGCUUCCAAAAAUCCUAGUCACCAUCUCAAAAGGAAAAAAAAAAAUCAGUCACGUAGGUACCGCGACCGUCUGCAAAUUCGCUCACGAAGGUGGCUGCGAGCUAGUACUAGCAGCGGUUUAACACUCUCGGAGGCGGAAGCUUCCUCUGAGACAUGUCGCGCUGUGACGUUUACUACCUGUGACGAUCGCGCAGUUACAUCCUUCCCCUACAAGAAAAGCAACCCCAUAUAACAUGCCAUUUAGAUUUGUUUAUUAUUAUGGCAGUUCAUGCCGUCACUAAUGAUCUCACUCUCCACUGCCGCUGCCCAGGACCGAUCAGAUCGGUCAAGACUCGGGGUGGUUUGUUCCUCGGAGUCGAGAUCGUGUCACAUCGAAUAUUUAGAUACUAAUUAGAAAGAUUAAAUAUGAACUAAUUACAAAAUCAAUUGUAUAGAUGGAGGCUAAUUCACGAGACGAAAUUAUUAAACCUAAUUAGUUCAUGAUUUCAAUUGUAUAGAUGGAGGCUAAUUCACGAGACGAAUUUAUUAAACCUAAUUAGUUCAUGAUUUGACAAUACGACGCAUUAAAAAGGGCUGGCCCGUUAAAAGGACGCUUACUUUGCGAACGAAGUUCAGAAUCAACAUGUGAUGCUACAGUAAAUAUAUGCUAAUCAUAAAUUAAUUAAGCUUAAUAGAUUCAUCUUGCGAAUUAGCCUCCAUCUGUGUAAUUAAUUUUGUAAUUAGUCUUAAACAUUCGAUAUGAUCGGGACUAAAAUUUAGUCCGUGGAACCAAACACCGUCGCAUGGACGAGUAUCACAUUUCUGAUUUCUCUACCAAAUUAAUCCGUCGUCUGUUUGUCCAUUACCAUCGCGAUCUGCCGGUGUUCCAUUCCUGAUCUUUAUAGGAAUACAGUAAUCGCCAUGGAAAUUCCACACCAAUUCCCCCGGCAUCUUGGCCCCAGAGCGGCCAGCAUUUUCCAGAGCUAACGGACAAGCGCCGUGAGGACGAGCAGAGGCGGCGGCUCACUGCGAGUUGGCGACAGGGAUGGCUCAGCUCGUGCCGGUGACUUUUGUGCAGGCCUUUUCAUGGCGACGACCACCGCAGCGCCGGGAGAUAACGUUGUUUUCGUUAUCUGCUCUGAUCUCUCUAUAAGUAGAUAGGGAGCCACGCUUGUUAUCGCCGCACUAACAUAAUCCAUCAGAGCUGCUCCCAAUUACUAACAGGUUUCCCUUGAAGAGAGGCAAGGGCCAGGCGGAGCUCGCCGUGCGUCAGCAAUGGCGGCGGCCGCGGAGGUGGGAGCAGGGGACAAGUACCGGUCCUUCAUCCACGGCGAGAGCGAGAAGGACACCGUGUGGAGGUACGGCGCGCCGCCCAACUACGACGUCGUCAACAAGCUCUUCGAGGCGGAGAGGACGCGGGUGUGGCCCGAGGGAUCCCUGGAGGAGAAGGUGCAGCGGCUGCUCAAGACAUGGGAGAUGGAGCUCGUCCACAAGGUCCGCCCCGAGGACCAGAAGACCGUCAACUCCGAAAAGUACUCCGCCAGCAACAACGGUGAGAUUCAUGAGAUCGAUCACGCUUCCAUUGCCGGCUCCGGGCCGAUCGCCGCCAAAGCUUCCCACUGACGCGCGCCGAUGCCGCCUGCAGGGAUGAAGGCCCUGAGCCGGGCGGAGGUGAUGGCGAUCGGCAGUUACAACCACUUCCUGCGCACCAAGCUCCCGCCGGAGCACCGCAUCUUCGACCCGGACCAGGAGACGCUCGACUCCGCCAUGGCCACGUUCCUCACGGCGUUCCCGAGGGGGUUCGCCAUCGAGGUGCUCGACGUCUACAGCGGCCCGCCCAAGAUCGCCUUCAAGUUCCGGCACUGGGGGUACAUGGAGGGGCCAUUCAAGGGCCACCCGCCGCACGGCCAGCGCGUCGAGUUCAUCGGCGUCUGCAUCUUCCACGUGAGUCCUACUACUUCAGACAGACGAUGCUGCAUUCGAUCGAUGCUGCAUUUGCUCCAAGUUCAGACAGAGCGUGGCCUGAAUUCCUCUGCACCGCUGUGAUGAUGUUUUUAGGUUGACGAGGAGAUGAAGGUGGAGAAGUCGGAGUACUUCUACGAGCGCGGCAACUUCCUGGCCAGCUUCUUGAGCCCGCCCGAUGCUGCGCCAGGUUCAGGUUCAGCAGGUUCAGGAUCGGGAUGCCCCGUGAUGCGUGGGAACUGAAUGUCAGCAUGAGCGUGACAGCAACGUACAGCGUGUGUAUCGCGUCUGCUUCUCAUUGAUAGUGAUAAAUCCAUGUCGCACGAAAUAAGUGUUGAAUAUGAAUAAAGUAGUUUGUUUGUUCUCGUAAGAAAAAGGAGAACUUGUUUUUUGUUUCACGUUUGUCUGGCUCUGGCACGGCUCGUUCGUUACAAUAUCACUUCAAUCGUAUCAUCUCGAGGCAUUAGGCCCCGUUUGCUUGCACUGAUUUAUUUUUAACACCCGUACUCGAGGCAUUAGGUCCUUGGGCACCGUUGGCAUAUCUAAUGGUUUUCAUGUGAAGAUGUCUCAGUUGAUCCGAAGAAAGCUAACGAGCGCGUCUUCCUAUUUGGGGUCUAGCCCUGAGCCAAUUAGGGCUGUCUUUGAGCUAUCACCAGUUUAAAGGUCAAUGGUUUUGAUAUCGACUUCACUUGCCAGCUUGACCUUGGUUGCCCCCGACUUCUUCUCUGGAAUCUUGAGUUCCGUCAGGGAUAAUUUCUUAGAAGCGGUGAAGACUUGCAUCAUUGAAUUUGGGACUUGAGUAGUCGCUACCAGCUCCACAGUUUCUGUGUUGCAGCCGUAUGAUCUUUUCAAGUCUCCGCGUAGGGAGUUGGUCCCGACAUUUUGAGUACUAGGUACACAUAAUGCGGGAUGGCCAUGAACUUGGUAGUGCAGGUCUUCCGAGGAUAGCAUGAUACGAGGUUUCGAAAUCAGCUACCUCAAACCAAAUGUACUCUAUCCGGUAAUGUUCUUUGGUCCCGAAGUUAACUGGCAAAACCACCUGACUAAGAGGUACAGCCGCUUUGCGUGAGACAAUCCCAUAGAACGGAGAGUUCAUCGAGGUGAGCAUAUCCGUAACAUCGAGGCCCAUCUUCCUCAAAGUCUUGGUGAAGAGUACAUUGAGACCACUGCCGCCAUCGAUGAGGACCUUGGUGAGUCAAGAGCCUGCAACUACUGGGUCCAGGACGAUAGGAUAGCGCCCUGGGUCAGAGAAACUAGUCCACUGAUCCUUCCUGGAAAAGAUGAUUGACACCUUGAACCACUUGAGGAACGUAAGCGUUGCUGGUUUGAUGGACAUAAUUUCUCGGAGGGCUAGUUUUUGGGACCGCUUAGUAGCAGUACCCAAUGUGCCACCGAAGAUGACGUUGAUAGUGUUGGACAGGUUCUGGAAUUUUUGCAGUUGUCGCCAUCAUCUUCGUCUUCUUUGGCUUUGCCCUUGCCCUUUUCUUCAGAAGGUUCUGGAAUAUCUUUCAUGACUCUGCGUAGGCUAUAGCAAUCCAUCACAAAGUGUUUAGAAUGUGGGUGCCAUAGGCACUGCUUUUUCAGGAGCUCUUUGAAUGGAGUCAUUUCCUAAUUUCUGCCGCCUUUCUUGGAAGUCUAGGACAUCGCCGUGGUAGUAUAGUCUGGCUUUCUUUUGCGAUUUUGACCACCCGAGUAGUUGCCUCGGUUGUCAUUAUUGGGUCGAUCAUUACAGUUCUUGUAGUUGCACUGGCCAUUACUUUGAUUAUUGUUGUUCUGGCCUCUGUUACGACUAGACUGAAACCUCUUAAUCUCUUUGUCUUGUUUAUCCGCCCAGGCUUGUAUCAUGAUCUUGAGAGAUUUGAUAUCUUUCGGGCAUCUCCUACCAAAAUCUUGAAACAUCCAGUGGUUGUAGAGACCAUUCUGGAAGCCAUCUAUGGCGUCUCGCUCCGUGAUGUCCAUGAUAGUUGCUUUCUUGUUGAAGAAACAGCGUAGAUAGCUACGCAGGGUCUCGCCUUGUUGCUAUUUGACUUGAGAGAAGUCGAUCCUGUUGCCAGGAAUCUGCACUGCCCCUGUGAGUUGUUUGUGAACGCCACCUUGAAAUGAUUCCACGUGUCGAUGGAGUUCCUUUCAAGGGACUCGAGCUAUGUGAGUGGUCCUGCCUCCAUGCAGAUGGGGAAGUAGAUGACCUUGGUGUCGUCGUUUCCUCCCACCGCUUGAACCGACAAAGAGUAGCACCGCAACCAUUGGACUGGGUCCUGCUUGCCGUCGUACUUGGUGAUACUCGGAGGUUUGAAUUUGUCGGGUAGAACCGUCUUUCGUACUCAUUUUGAGAAGGCGAGGAACCUGUCAAAAUCUUCUUUGAGGUACUCGACUUCUUGUUCGCGCUCGCGGCAGUGCCCUUCAAUGAUUGUACAAGCAUCGCGGCUAUUGUUGAUCUUCUGACAGAGGUCACGUACUGGAGGCUCAGGCUCUAGGUGGGGCCCACAGUGGCCACGGCCUCCCGAGAGUUCCACCCGACUACCCUGUGCCCUAUUUUGGCUUGGUCUGGCACCCUCAAUUCCGGGACACUCGUUUUGUAGCACCCUCAUUUUGACUUGGUCUAUGGCUACUGCCAUGCUGGGAUGAGGUGUGUCGAACUGAGUGGAUUGGGCUUUGUUGAUCAAGUUGCUCGUACGCAUGCUCCGCUAGUUGAGCGAGUUGUCUAGUGUACUUGUUUUGUGGUAUUGCCCGAGUAAUCAGGUCAAUGGAUGCGAUGGUGGUGAGAGGAGUAUGGUGUUGAUACGUCUGAACUGCUUUAAAUGCGUGAUCCAAGUUCAUGAUGGGUAGGUCAGCUGCAAGGCGGCGGCGACGAUCUACUCGUGCAGCGUUUCUUGCUCGACGUUGAUUCCUUUGAGCUUCAAUUUCUUCUCCUUCUAUGUUGGUGGCGAGUUCAUCCUGCGAGACAUCGUCUGGGCUACGUUCGUGUUGCGGAUUUCUUUCUGAUGGUUCUUCACCUUCACCUUCUUGUGCAGCAAUGAUGGCGAGGAGUUCACGUUCCGGAGAAAAACUACCCGAACUUGAUGUGAUGACCUCUGUGGAGCCGUCUUCUUCAUAGAUGGGCGAUAGAGGGUUUCCCUUCUCAUACGGGAGGUUGUCAAUGUAGGUGACAAAGCGUGACUCGUCGUCCCUAGCGAGAGCAUGUGGCUUCAUGUUGGGCCAGUAGAUAGAUCUGCCUUUUGGAGUAGAUGUCAUGACCAUGUCCUAUUGUGGACUUGAUAAUGGAGUCUCCUCAUCUAGAUCUGAGUAGUAGUCGAGGUCCUUGAUCAAAUCCGAGUUGAAUUGUGAUCUGAGCAGGGUGUCUUGGUAGACAGCCCCCAAGUUUCAGAGUUCGAAUAGGAAUCGACUUGUAUCAUAGACCGAUCCGCAUGAUGGCUUAGGCACCAACUCCAUCGUAAACCACACCGUCCUACACCGUAGUCUCCAUGUCUAACAUGUCUCGGUGUACAACUUCGUAUCUAGGAUUGUCCAAACCUUCUAGUGGGCCCAUAGAUGUAUGGACGACACCGGCAACAACGACGGAAGUCCCUUGCGAUGCGGGGCCAGGGCGCGCGCAAAGCGGCGAGGUCGGCAUCCCAGCGGCGUGGUGGCUCAAUGCACCUCUGCCUUCUGCUCCUCGUCACCCCUCUACCUCCCCGAUUAGCUGGCGGGGGCCUGCUGCCGAUGCGGUGGUGGAUGGCGAGGCUGCGGUGGUAGGGCUGCAGGGACCACUACGGUGAGCGGGGCACGGCAGGAGCUGGGCUAAGGUAGCGGAGCGCGCGGGCUUGCACGGUGCGGGGCCGGUAGUGGCCGGCAACUACAACGGCAAGAGCGAGGAUUGGGAAGAAGACGAGGUGCAGCGCCAGCGGAGCAGAGCCCGAGGAUCUUUGCCUGGGUAGCAUGUUGGCAAGCAUCUUGCCUACCAGCUCAGCGCGCCCACGCGACCUGCGCUCGUCCUCCAACUCCGAGUUCUUUCUCAUGUGUUCUUCCUAAUUCCUGCUUGUUCAUUUUUUGGGUUUCUUAUUUUUACUCGUUACCAAUGGAGCUUUCUUGUUUUGUCAAAAUCGGGUGGUGUGGCAUCAUUCCUGUUGUUCCCUCUCCUUCCCGUUCUUUUUCUUCUUGAUUUUUUUUGGUGUUGGAACUAUCAAAUUUUUUUUAGCAAAGUACAUCCGUGUAUAAGUUCAAUGUUGUGCUGCUAAAUGGUUCAAGUUUUAUUUGAUAUCUGAUGCCUAAGCUAGGUUUGUACAUUGAAAGAAACAUGAGCAGGGGAUGAACAAGCAGGGUACAUGAAGUGUACAUAGCAAUGGGCAUGGCAAUUAUCCACUCGACUGAUUGUAUAGUCCAACUAGGUACACUAGCAGUGCAACAAUGUACAUGGACAGAUGACGGUGCGGGUGAACGUUGGAAUAUGUUAAAAUAAUGAUAUGUAGUACAUAAAGCUGCAGCGUGCCAUGUGAAGGUGGGAGGUAGGCACCAGAAAGGAAGAGGAGGAGGAAAGUCAAAAAGGCGCUUGGCAUGCUGAGGCGGGUACAGUUGCAUGGGUCCCAACUCAGCUUUAUGUCAGCGUAAAGUAGCUUUAUGUCCACCUCAAACAAAGGCAAAUGUACUUUAUGUCACAUCAUCCCAUACCACUGUCCCCAAUACAGGUCGGGAAAAAAUGAAAUACACCCGAGAAUACAUUCACUAGAGACAAAACAUCACAGAUCUCGGUACAGAUCGACAUUCCCGAUAAUGGUUGUCAUGCCUGCAAGGUGUACCGUCCAUUUUCCAUUUCUCCUCAUGUUGAAACACCCAGUGUGUGCCUUGUUUAAGCCUCUGAAUGUGGUUUUUUAACUUCUCCUACCAUUGAUCUUCCUGUGAAAAUAUUUAGUGUUGGUGUCGCCCAACUUGAGAUUGGUGAUGCGAUGCUUGUCUUCUCCUUGCUCGUUCGACAACCACAAGGCCGAGGAUUCGUCUCUUUAGUUUUUAGCAUAGGUUUGUUUCCUCCACGGUGAGGGCUCUAUGCUCAUGGGCCAUGUCCAAUCUGAGGACCACGUCUGAGGACCACAUCGGAUGCCAUGAGGAGUUGCAUCUUGGCGUCUAGGUAGAAAUUAUGGCUCCUGGCUUUGAGCAUGUUGGAAGUUUUGAGGAGCUUGUGGUAUAAGCGGUGGUGUCGGUAUUUUAUACCUAGCAACCUACUGAGGGGUAUCUCGAGAUAGUAGAUUGGUUGGUGGGGGAUCAUCGGACCUGGAACUCGAAGGUAAAAGCGAGGAUACAAGACACAGAUUUAUACAGGUUCGGUCUGCCAGAGUAGCGUAUUACCCUAUGUCCUGUUUGGGGUGUUGUAUAUUGCGCCAUGUGCUUGGGUGUUGUUUGGUGUUGAGGAUUUGGUCCUCUGUUGUGGUUCUAUGAGGUCUUCGCCUACCAAUCUAGGGACCCCUGCCCUCAUUUAUAUACUUCAGGGGGCGGGAUUACUAGUCGGUUACAAGGAGGAGUCCUAGUAGGAUUACAAGGUAUGAGUCCUAGUAGAAUUACAGGGGAAUCCUAGUAGGAGUCCAUCUUCUUCCUUUCUUGUGGAUACUGGAGAUCUUUCCCCAACAAGCCCCCGAGUGCUUCAUAAACCAAUGUAGCAAUCUUCGAGUACUUUUCAGAUCCUCGCCGAGUAGUUUUUGUGCUCGUCGAGUACUUUGUCUGGCUGAAUCUUCAAAGUUCCUCAAAGCUAUCAUGAGGCUAUGGUGUGCUCAAGCCCUUGAUCGUCUUGAUUUUGUAAUCUUCUUCCUUGCUGAUAUAGAGGGUGGCGGAAGUCACAGUCCAUAUAGAGUAGGCCCCAAGCCUUAGGUUGAAUCGAAGAAUCGGGCUGAGGGUAUAUUAAAUCUUGAAUCUUCUUCUUUCGUCUUGAAAAAAUCAACUGCUGUGUGUAGUUUAUCAGCUCCCAAGCCUUGGAAUGAUUAAAUAAUCAUCUUUAGUCUUCACGCCAGUCGUCUUUCGAGUAGUCAUUUGGCAUCCAGCUUUCGAGCUUAUGCGCCAGGUGAGCUGUAGUAAUUGGUGCUUAUUUAGCGCUUAGCCCCCGAGCUAGGAAGCUAGCUUAGCCAUUGGAGAUAUUCCGAGUAGUAAUUGGUGCUUAGCCCCCGAGCUUUGGAGCUAGAGCCAUUGGAGGUACACUGAGCAUCCUGGAGAGUCGUCGUCGAAGCUUGACCUGCAAAAAGAGAUGUAUACAUUAUGUAGCAUAUUUGUAGAAUUUGGAACUAUUGAAAUUUAUUUAGUGAUGGAUAUAAUAUAAAUAUUGUGUGUCAUACUCUUGUUUCUUCCAUAUUUCUCUCAAGUAGUUAGCCUACUAUGUUUAGACUCUCAGUCCCUGUUUAGCCAUUGCCACUGUGUGUGAGAUAUUUAUCUCGUGUACGUGUACUGGCGCUGCUACUACGCAAAUCUUUGUCCCGCGUCCUAACAUUUAGGCAUGAUAGAAGAUCCAAGACUUUCACGAAUUGAGGCGUGUUCUGCUUAAGGAUAUUAGUGACCGCUAAGAGAAAAACAUUGAAAAUAAGUAGUCAGCGUUACGACAAAAACGAGCGUGAUUGCGUGUAAAGUAGUCAUUGAGACUUUUCUACCUUUUGGCGAGGAAAGCGCGUAUUUGUCGUGCAUAGGAUUUGUGCCUCACUAGAGUGUAGCCAUUGUGAGCCUCCAGCACUCGAUGCACCAAACUUCAUGGAAGAGCCUCCUAAUUCGGUGUACCAAGCCUGUGGUGGAGCUUCCGAAACUCAGUGCACCAAAUCUGAGGUGAUAGCCUCCGUAAUUCGGUGUACCAAGCCCAUGGCUGUCGGUCAACAUGCCCCAAGAGUAGUCGGUGAAGUGUAACUUUGAAGGGUAAUUCUCGUCAAGAGGCAUACACAAAUAAGUACUUGGUGUGUUGCCCUAUAUGCGGAAAACAAGCUGAAAAAAUUAUAUAAAAUAAUGAAAAAAGUGACUUAGCUUCAUUCAUGGACGAUUGUCGAUGAAGACGCGAUGGUUGCUGAUGAAGCUGACUAGUCGGAGUUGCUUUCGACUAGUUGUCGAUGGUAUGAGGCCCGCCCUCAACUAGUUUUCUAGUCGAGACGAGUAGUUGAAGUAGUUGUUAGCGAGCCGGCGUAGACGUCUUGCUCUUGCAGAAGUAGUCGAUCGCGUCAUUGAAGAUUUGUUUGUGUUGCCACGCAAGCUGAAGUCCUUCUGGUAGCUUUUUUGGUGUGCGCAUAGCUGAAUACACCAUUGAUUUUCAGCGUCAGAGGGAACAGUGGCAGCUGUUUCUUUAUUUUGAUGCUUGGUGUGCUUUUCUGUCUCCGAUCAACAAAGCUGGUCUCCACUUUGGACUCAACUAAGGAAAUUAAUUCCCUGUAGGAUUCCGUCUUGAUGUUGUUCAAUUCUAUUCCAUCUCGAUCUUGAUGCUUGGAGAUGAUCAACGGCUGGUGAAUUGCUCCACUCCGCAAUUCCAAUUCGGUGAGAACAAAUGCUAGUUUGGAAUUAGCUUAUCCGGCAACUUCGUCUCAAAUUCUGACGCAGUUGCACACCGAGUCGUUGAUUGGAUGGGAGAAUAGCGUUCUUGUCUUGUAGAGUAGAUUGAUCUUGAUGAGGUCCUUCAAACUUGUCCGAUGAUCUCGACGAUCACUCCUACCUGGCACGCCAGAUGUCGGUAUUUUAUACCCGACAACCUACCGAGGGGUAUCCCGAGGUAGUAGAUUGGUUGGUGGGGGAUUGCCGAACCUGAAACUCGAAGGUAAAAGCGAGGACACAAGACACAGAUUUAUACAGGUUCGGGCCGCUAGGACACAAGACAUAGAUUUAUACAGGUUCGGACCGCCAGAGUAGCGUAUUACCCUACGUCUUGUUUGGGGUGUUAUAUAUUGCGCCAUGCGCUUGGGUGUUGUUUGGUGUUGAGGAUUUAGUCCUCUGUUGUGGUUCUAUGAGGUCUUCGCCUACCGAUCUAGGGACCCUGUCCUACUUUGUAUACUCCAGGGGGCGGAAUUACUAGUCGGUUACAAGGAGUCCUAGUAGAAUUACAAGGUAUCAGUCCUAGUAGGAUUACAGGGGAAUACUAGUAGGAGUCCAUCUUCUUUCUUCCUUACGGGUAUUGGGGAUAUAUCCCCGAUAGGUGGAAAGGCUUGUGAUGAGCGCAGGGCUUGUUCCAUGUUUCUGCUACAACUUCCCUGAAGCGAGGGAGUUUCAGCCAGUAAUCCUCGAAUCUAAACAUGCGUGGUCGCCAUGGGUCAUUUUGAUUUGAUAAGAGAAGUGGGCAGUGGUCAGAGUGAGAUGUCGACAGGGGCAAUGGUCAGAGUGAGACGUCGAUAGGGCAUGCAAGACGUGCAAUCCAAAUAAAGCGUCCCCUUUAAAUUUGUUGGUUUGAUUAUUUAACUUGGAUAGGGUCAUUUGCCGUGUGUUUUUUGUUGCGUGAUUGAACCUUCUGAGAGUAGGAAUUUCAUAGAUGAAGUGCAUCAACUAUCAAGGGUAGAAAUGUACUAUGAAUUUUGUAGAAAAAUCGAAGCAAAAAUCGCCCUAGCAGUGCAGCCGUUUGCUCGCUGAACGGUCUGCCCCUGGUGGCCUCUACUACGCAGUAGCCCUGCCCCGUUGUCUUGGGUUCGAAGCCCAUCACACAUGUUUCUUCUUUCCUUUGUUUCCCCCGUAUCCCUCAUGAUUAAUGAAAAAUAAUUUCAAAUAUUCAAAAAAAUCUAAUACGAGCGAGAGAAUUGAAAAUAAUUCCCACCUAAAGAUGUACCCUGCCCCUCACACAGGGUCCAUCUGGUAGGCCAAAACUAACUAAAAGUGAGAUUGAUUUCGU
RNAcentral lists this long non-coding RNA (15886 nucleotides) under Setaria viridis. RNAcentral's name for it is "long non-coding RNA (SVIR_LNC005193)". The record is from RNAcentral. Lineage: Eukaryota; Viridiplantae; Streptophyta; Magnoliopsida; Poales; Poaceae.